RNAcentral lists this ribosomal RNA (480 nucleotides) under uncultured bacterium. RNAcentral's name for it is "partial 16S ribosomal RNA". It matches the Rfam family "Bacterial small subunit ribosomal RNA", at positions 28 to 507 of the family's 1533-position model. The record is from RNAcentral.
GACGAACGCUGGCGGCGUGCUUAACACAUGCAAGUCGAACGAUGAAGAAAAGAAUCGAAGCUUCGGCAGAAAUUUAUUUCGGAUUAGUGGCAGACGGGUGAGUAACGCGUGAGCAACCUACCUCUUACAAAGGGAUAGCCUCGGGAAACCGGGAUUCAUACCAUAUAACAUUGCGACGAAGCAUUUCGCUGCAAUCAAAGCUACGGCGGUAAGAGAUGGGCUCGCGUCCCAUUAACCGGAUGGUGAGGUAACGGCUCACCAUAGUGACGAUGGGUAACCGGCCUGAGAGGGUAAACGGUCACACUGGAACUGAGACACGGUCCAGACUCCUGCGGGAGGCAGCCAUGGGGAAUAUUGCACAAGGGAAGGAACUCGGAUGCAGCGACGCCGCGUGAAUGAUGAAGGAAUUCGUUUCGUAAAACUCUGUUCUAUGGGAAGAAAAGGACUGUACCAUAGGAGAAAGCUCCGGCUAAAUACGUG